AAAAAAGCAGAGGUCUGUUGCCUAUGCGAGCAGUCCUCUCGUAACCUUCAGGGAUAUAGUAAUCAUUGUUGUUGGGUGAACCUCGGUUCCUUGUUUGUGUCUGUAGGUUCAGUAAAUGGUGGAACAUAG
This is a non-coding RNA of Glycine max (soybean), 129 nucleotides long. The record is from Rfam. Lineage: Eukaryota; Viridiplantae; Streptophyta; Magnoliopsida; Fabales; Fabaceae.